GUGCAUUUUUAUAUGAUAAUAAUACGGACAGUAAACAAUGUGUCAAUGAUUUAAAAAGACAUUUGAUUCCAUCGUAGACUUCGUCUUAUUCACCAACUUAUCUCUUAUUAAAAAUUUUAUAUUUCGAUACCCACAUCCUUACUUUGUUUACCCAAUCAAAAAUUUACCUCACAUUUUUCGCGUUUUACUGUUCUUGUUUUACCGGAAUCACAAGGAGAACGAGGCAAGGUAAUUGGAAGAACAUUGGAAAGCGAUGAAAUAGGGAGCGAUGUAAUUCUCGCUAUGGCGGAUGUCUCAGUCGGUGCAGGCGACCUCAUUUGGUUGCAGGUCCAAAGUAGUUCGUAGGUCUGUUCAUUGAACAGGUGUAGGAUUUAGCAGCGACUCCCGUGGUCAGGUGUUGUUUGAUGAGGAGGCUGCAUGUAACUGUCGCAAUGACGAUUGCAACAACUUCAGCAUUUGUAGCUUCGUUUUCUUGGACUGUGAACUUUGAUAGACCAUGAAACCAUUGAUUCCAAGAUGAAGCUGCUGCAAUCCCAAGACUUUUCACAAAUAUAUAGCUUCUUUGUACUGAGGCAUGGGAAUUUACUGUAUUUUUUAAGUACAGAAUGAUUAUUUAUAUUUUUCUAUGAAUAGCUACCUCUGGAUAUGUCUAGUUUAUUUUCUUAUCCAGACGAGUGCGUGGUAAUUUUGGCUAAAAAUGUUCAACUCCUUCAGUGCCUUCUUGAGAGAUCCUCAAAGCAAAUCCGUUUUCUGUCUUGCAAAUAAUGCUCCUCUUCACAGUCCCCUUGAUGAAGACAUAGGAAGCUUCUGAGAUUAAUGAUUAUACUUACUAAUUUUCCUUUCUUCUUUGGAGGAAUCUGGAUGAGAAACUUAUAUGAUAAAGCAAUUUGUUUCUUACAAUUUGGUUUUAUGGCUGUCUUUUGAUGAUAGGGAGAACGCUUUAAUAUGACAAACUUGUACAAAACUGUACAUUGUAGAAAUUGAAGGAAGAAUUAAAAUGUUAGUUGAGAAAUAGCCAAAGCACACUCUCAAUCAAAGAGUCUGACCCAUAAUGCCGGGCCUUUGCAAUGUUUCGUAAUCUCAAUAAGACUGUAUACCUCACUCGUGGACCUUGUUUUUCAUUGUUGUCUUAAUUCAGUUCAAGCAAGAAGCGUGAUUUCCUUCUUUUGUAUGGUGGUCGGCGUGUUUUGUGUUCGCGCUGUACCUGUAAUAGUGGUGUUCCUUUUCCAUGGAAGGGAAAUUUAAAUUUUCAAUGCCUUAUUUAGGUAAAAUUUCCUGUUUAAAUUAUAUAGACAACUAAGAGAAUUCAAUAUUAGCAGUGUCCACGCAUCAUCAAGUGGACUUGGUUGCUGACCUGGAUUUCAUUUCUCUUGUAUAUACAUACACAUAUGUGUGUGUAUGUAAUUCUGUAUGAAAGAGAGUUGAUUAGAGGGGGGAAAUGUAAGAAAGAGGAUAUUUAUCUCUCUGAAAAUAAAGGAACAUGUUGUCUUGUAGCAUAUUUAGUCCUUGCAGAUUACGGCAUACGACCUGUUCAUGUGUCAAUAGAUGAUACUCGAAGUGGUAAUGUUUUGCUUGCAAUAUUGAGAGGGUUUCAGCAGCAAUGACAACAAGAUUGGUACAGAUACAUGAAAGCUGACAAUAUCGAAUGUAUCAGUAUGGCCUUGUUCUCAUGCACUUCUGCAAGCAGCUGCCCAUACUUGUAUCCGGUAAGUGUCUCAAAAUCUAUGCGAAUUGCAGCUCAUAUAUAUGGCUACCAGACUAUUUUGUGUUCAAAAAGA
Molecule: long non-coding RNA, 1778 nt
Organism: Sesamum indicum (sesame)
Lineage: Eukaryota; Viridiplantae; Streptophyta; Magnoliopsida; Lamiales; Pedaliaceae
Source: RefSeq, a predicted model, not a curated record